Molecule: long non-coding RNA, 1059 nt
Filed under: Equus caballus (horse)
Lineage: Eukaryota; Metazoa; Chordata; Mammalia; Perissodactyla; Equidae
Description: lncRNA (ENSECAG00000052910.1)
Source: RNAcentral
GGGCUCCUGGCCUCCUGCUGCAGAGACCUGUCUCAGGCUGACACCCUUACUCCCUUGGGGGCAUCUGUGAGUCCUCCUGAGAUGGGGAGAUUUUGUUGUCGCCACCUCAAACCACCUCCUCUUCAUCUUGGAAGGUGGAGCAAGGGAGGGAAAGAGCUGGUGCCCAGGGGAGGCUGCGCUUCUGCCGCUGAGAGCAGGUGCCUUGGUUCUUAAACCAGGUGGUCUCUAAGCUGGCUGUGUGACCAGAGGGCCCCCACUCUGCAGCUGGGAAAACUGAGACCCUGAGAAUCAUUUCAUCCUGAGCUAGUUAGCGGGUUUGCGGAGGGCCGGAAUGAAGACAGAUCCAGCCCGGCCAUCUCACAGCCUCUUCUCUAAGCUGCCACGGACACACACGUACCCCUCCCAUUCUUGCUCCACCAGCCCUCACACACAACCACAGUCUGGCUCUUGGCUUCACAGAUCUUAAAGGAGCAGAAACUCUCCUCUUCCUGAACUUAAUCUCGAUCAGCUUGGUGGUGCCAUUUCCAAGCAACUGGAUGCUCUGAUGUUGCUUGGAGUGGAGCACUCUCUGCACCUGCACAGGACUUCAGGGUUUUCGUCUACGCCUCCUGUGACCCUCACGGUUUCCCCUUUGACAGACGAGGUCCUGCAGCUCAGAGGGGGAAACGACUUGCCCUUGUCACAUGGCCUGUACUUGGCAAAGUCCGGCCUAGAAUGGUCUCCUGACUCCUAAUCGUGUCUCUCUCUCCAGACUCUGGGUUCUGACACCGGCUCUGCUUCGAAUGAGCUCUGAGACCCGGAACACAUCACUUCAGCUGCCUGAACCUGCUUCAUAAAUGCACUGACCUGCAAAACCUCGAUGUCAUUUCAUUCAUUCCACAAGCACUGCCUCUCAGGAGGCCCUGAGCCAGGUCCUGGGGCCACGAGGAUGAAGAUUCCAGCUCUCUGCUCUCAGGGCAGAAACACAUUCAGAGCCCAGCAAGGGUGUAGAAUGGGAGACCUCACGUGGGGAGAAGAGGGCAGGAACCCGAGUCCUCUCUCAGGGGACCAAGGGAUUCC